ACCUUAGCACGGUCAGGAUACAGUGCAAAGGUAGCAUAAUCAUUUGCCUCUUAAUUAGAGGCUAGUACAAAUGGACAAACGUGAGUCAAGCUGUCUCUUCUCUAUAAAUAAAAAUUAAUCUUUAGGUGAAAAAGCCUAAAUUCUAUAAAAAGACAAAAAGACCCUAUUGAGUUUUAUUACAUAAGCUUUAACCUAUAAUAAAAUAAAUUUCUCAAGUCAAAAGUAAUUUAGUUGGGGCGACUGAGGAAAAGAAUAAAUCUUCCUUAAAGUUUAAGGAUAUAAUCCUAUUUAACGAUCCGCAGAAGCGAUUAAAAGAAAUAACUACCAUAGGGAUAACAGGCUAAUUUCCUUCAAGAGCCCAUAUUGACAAGGAAGU
RNAcentral lists this ribosomal RNA (376 nucleotides) under Poecilochaetus sp. GF-12255_4418. RNAcentral's name for it is "partial large subunit ribosomal RNA". It matches the Rfam family "Bacterial large subunit ribosomal RNA", at positions 1925 to 2517 of the family's 2925-position model. Lineage: Eukaryota; Metazoa; Annelida; Polychaeta; Spionida; Poecilochaetidae. The record is from RNAcentral.